Molecule: long non-coding RNA, 1149 nt
Filed under: Equus caballus (horse)
Lineage: Eukaryota; Metazoa; Chordata; Mammalia; Perissodactyla; Equidae
Description: lncRNA (ENSECAG00000045287.1)
Source: RNAcentral
CAUUGAAGGUUGCAGAGCAGGGGUGUGGCAAGGCUGGGGCAGGCAGAAGCAGAGCAGGUGGGCAAGGAGUGUAGGCUCACAUGGCCACCGAGAUUCACCAGUGCACAGCCUGCUGAUGCGACCAAUAAUGGACAUUUAAUAACCCCAAACUCAGCCUCUCCCUUUUACUUUAUUCAAGGUGCUGAGUCUUGUGCCUUUCUGGUAAGCCUUCUUUUCCAAGAAGACUUCUGCCUUGAGUGCUGGUUGGAAAGGGGAGGGGAGCCGCCUGCUCGGUCAGCUCGAGCUGAGUCCCGCGGAGUGAGAUCACAGCAAGGAAGGGGCCGUGAGAGUGUGUGGGGAGGCCUGGAAGGUGCCCGAUCGAUUUACACACCUUGGCUUCAUUUAAUCCACAAUACGUCUGUGAUCUCACUAGUCCCACAGCGACCUCGUCGGGGAGAUGCUAUUAUUCCCAUUUCACAGAGGAGGAAGCUGAGGCUCAGAGGGAUGAAGCCAUUUGCUCGAGGUCUCUGUGCCACAGAGCGGCCAAUCCAGGGCUCAGACUCAGAUCUGGGCGUCUCUAAACUCUGAUUCCACCCCGUGUCGCGUGCCCUCUGGAGAACGGAGCCCUCCCUCCGACAGCACCCGAGGGACCCCCUCGAGAGUAAGAGCCUGCACAGCCGAGGUUGACCCCGCCCCUCCUCACUGAGUAUUUGGGAGCAGAGCCCAGUGCAGUCCUGGUCCGGCCCUGCUGGCCCAUGUGUCGGAUCGGACGUCACUCAGCGUUCCUGAGAACCUCGGCCCCUCCUACCAUGGGCUCUGACUGCCGAUCCCCAGAACCCAGACUCUCCCGGGGAAGGGGGUCUGCCCCAGAACAUGUCCUCCAUCAGGGGCGUCUCCCACACUCCUGCUGCCUCCCGUUCGCUCCUGCUCGGAUCGGGGCUGGGCGCGAUGGUGUUGGUGCUGCGCCCUGCUCAGAAUUUCUCUGGAGUGUUCUCGGCUCUUCCCUUCCCUGCACAGACACGUUCUCUGCCGCUCUGCUGGAGCGGCCCGUGACCCCUCCCGCUGGGCAGCCAAGGCGUGUCCUCAGGGCCGGGGACCGCCUGGAAAGCCGGCUUCCCUCCGAUGCCUCCUGGGGCGGGUGCCUCUCUCCCCCAGACAGGCCUUCCCUCA